CCUACGGGUGGCAGCAGUGGGGGAUAUUGCACAAUGGGGGAAACCCUGAUGCAGCGACGCCGCGUGUGGGAAGACGGUCCUCUGGAUUGUAAACCACUGUCCCCAGGGACGAAGAUGACGGUACCUGGGGAGGAAGCUCCGGCUAACUACGUGCCAGCAGCCGCGGUACUACGUAGGGAGCGAGCGUUGUCCGGAAUUACUGGGUGUAAAGGGAGCGUAGGCGGGACUGCAAGUUGGGUGUCAAAUCUACCGGCUCAACCGGUAGCCGCACUCAAAACUGCAGUUCUUGAGUGAAGUAGAGGCAGGCGGAAUUCCUAGUGUAGCGGUGAAAUGCGUAGAUAUUAGGAGGAACACCAGUGGCGAAGGCGGCCUGCUGGGCUGUGACUGACGCUGAGGCUCGAAAGUGUGGGGAGCAAACAGGAUUAGAUACCCUUGUAGUC
RNAcentral lists this ribosomal RNA (440 nucleotides) under uncultured bacterium. RNAcentral describes it as "partial 16S ribosomal RNA". It matches the Rfam family "Bacterial small subunit ribosomal RNA", at positions 338 to 795 of the family's 1533-position model. The record is from RNAcentral.